UAAAUUCUUUCAUUGUCAAAUGGCAGCCUCUGCCAUGGACAGGAUAACCUCAUCAAAAUCAUUCCCCUGCCUGCUGGCCAAUUACACACAGGUGGCCUCAAUCCACUGAGGCCAUUCAUUCCCCUCCCCCUGAUUGGCAACUGCAGUCAGGUGUGUUGCUCCAAAGACUAUAUAAGGCCCACAGCAGAGAGCAGCAGGGCUCUCUGCUGCAUCAUCCAACCCUCUGGCCAUGCGUCCCUGCGAAUAAACCAUGGUUUGGAUGCCAAUAAACCCCCUUAAACUGA
This is a long non-coding RNA of Sebastes umbrosus (honeycomb rockfish), 284 nucleotides long. RefSeq lists it as uncharacterized. The record is from RefSeq and is a predicted model, not a curated record. The transcript has 2 exons. NCBI's taxonomy places the organism in Eukaryota, Metazoa, Chordata, Actinopteri, Perciformes, Sebastidae.